AACGAACGCUGGCGGCAUGCCUAACACAUGCAAGUCGAACGAGACCUUCGGGUCUAGUGGCGCACGGGUGCGUAACACGUGGGAAUCUGCCCUUUGCUUCGGAAUAACAGUUAGAAAUGACUGCUAAUACCGGAUGAUGUCGAAAGACCAAAGAUUUAUCGGCAAAGUUUGAGCCCGCGUGGGAUUCGGUAGUUGGUAGGGUAAAGGCCUACCAAGCCGACGAUCCUUAGCUGGUCUGUGAGGAUGGUCAGCGACACUGGGACUGAGACACGGCCCAGACUCCUACGGGAGGCGGCAAUGGGGAAUAUUGGACAAUGGGCGAAAGCCUGAUCCAGCAAGGCCGCGUGAGUGAUGAAGGCCGUAGGGUUGUAAAGCUCUUUUACCAGGGAUGAUAAUGACAGUACCUGGAGAAUAAGCUCCGGCUAACUCCGUG
RNAcentral lists this ribosomal RNA (433 nucleotides) under uncultured bacterium. RNAcentral describes it as "partial 16S ribosomal RNA". It matches the Rfam family "Bacterial small subunit ribosomal RNA", at positions 29 to 507 of the family's 1533-position model. The record is from RNAcentral.